Molecule: ribosomal RNA, 492 nt
Filed under: uncultured bacterium
Lineage: Bacteria
Description: partial 16S ribosomal RNA
Rfam family: Bacterial small subunit ribosomal RNA
Source: RNAcentral
AGUGAACGCUGGCGGUAGACCUAACACAUGCAAGUCGAACGGCAGCACAGUAAGAGCUUGCUCUUACGGGUGGCGAGUGGCGGACGGAUGAGGAAUACAUCAGAAUCUACUUUUUCGUGGGGGAUAACGUAGGGAAACUUACGCUAAUACCGCAUACGACCUACGGGUGAAAGCAGGGGAUCUUCGGACCUUGCGCGAUUGAAUGAGCCGAUGUCGGAUUAGCUAGUUGGCGGGGUAAAGGCCCACCAAGGCGACGAUCCGUAGCUGGUCUGAGAGGAUGAUCAGCCACACUGGAACUGAGACACGGUCCAGACUCCUACGGGAGGCAGCAGUGGGGAAUAUUGGACAAUGGGCGCAAGCCUGAUCCAGCCAUACCGCGUGGGUGAAGAAGGCCUUCGGGUUGUAAAGCCCUUUUGUUGGGAAAGAAAAGCAGCAGGUUAAUACCCCGCUGUUCUGACGGUACCCAAAGAAUAAGCACCGGCUAACUUCGUG